CGAGCACAGUCAUUCCAAUCGGAGUCAGAGCUGCCGAGGACAAAGAAGGAAAGUCCGCUCACUGCCACCCAGCAUGCCCCCUGUCUGGACGGCCUCUGGACGAUGGUAAAUGGCCGUGAGCGGGGUCAGCCACAUGGUCGCUUGCUGGAUCCAUUAUUGGCUGAUCAUAAUUUCAAGCAAGGUUCCGUGUGAGACAGGAACACAAUGUCAGGGCAGCUACAACCAGGCAGAGCUGCCUUGCAUGCCAGAAAUAUUUCCCCGCCUGUGGGAAAACAUCUCACCGAACAGGCAGGAUUCCCCUACAUGGUGGAGACACUGCCCUUCUUCUGGCUGGAGAGCCUCCCUCUGUGCAGAAUGACCUGCCAACCAGAGCAGCACUGCCCUGCUUAUGGCUAAACCAUCAGCCAGCCAAUCCGCGCUCUGCCUCUCUACCCACUCGACAGACUGGUUUUCCACAGGCACUUUCCAAGGCUUUGUUUAGUCAAAGGUGGAGUCAUGUUCCUGCUGUGCAGCGGAUUCUACGUCACCGACGGGCUGUUAUGACAGAGACGGGGCUUUUGGUCCGGUCAGCCGGGGCAAUUUCCUGGCAAGCCGGCUGUUUCUUUUCUUUGUUGCCACAUGGUUUUUCAAUCAGGCAGUUUUCUGCUUUAUAGUGUGGACUGUGAAUGAUGCUGCUGACACAUGAGGUAUGAGUGCAAACCCACAGGCCACCAGUCCCCUUAUGAAAAUAAAUCCAUUAGAUUAAGAUUUGUAUUCGGGUUUGCACCAAAUGGUUCAUUGAUGUCAGUGCUCUUAACAUGCCAUCUCACAGUGUUGAGGAAAGAAUUCAUGCAUUCACCCUUUUGUCCGGAUCAACACGAAAAUGUAGUGUCUGUUUUUUUGUGUCCCGUCCUUGCACAAGUUUUGUUGAAUUCCGUUUUCUGAAACCAGGAUAUUUGUAAUCCUGCAGACAAACAAACCAAAAGGGAUAAAAACACCAUUUGUGACCAAAACAAAGAAUUUACAGGUUAUACAUAAAUUGACUUUAAAAUUAAACGAAAUUCAUUGGUGACAGAAAGAAAUUGCUGUAUUUAAUCACAAAAUAUAUAAGUGGAGUGUAGGUUUUGGGAAAUUUGUUUAUUUCUAGUAUUACAUCUUCCCUUAUGCCUCAAUCUUCACCAUGAUAAUACCCCAUGUUGUCCACUAUUUGAUCAGUAAACAGUGCCCCCUGCUGUGCAGAAAUAUUAGGCAGUCAAGUCAGAUCAUCUGCUUUUAGUGUAAACCACCAUCAGUUCCACACACAAACACAUGGCCGUGACUUUUUACAGGAUUUUAUUUUUCUCGCUCUCUCUUUGUUUUUCGGGGGAGGGGUGUGACAAACUGAAGAAUGUUUUCUUUGCCUCCUCUGUUUGAAAACAUGUCUGAGCUGCAGUGAAAGCGGGAAAAGAGAAAAGACAAGACACAGCUGCCGGAGUUAAAAAUAAACAGAUACUGAAGCAACGUGAAUAGAGUCGGUGAGAGCUCUGGAGGCAGCUGACCCCGCGGCCCGGAGGUCGCAGAGCUGUGGUUGUGAGAAAGAGAAAGAGAUGGGAAGAGCUGAUCUGUGGAAAGUCUCGCCGAGUUUUGCAACUUCUGCACAAACAUGUUUGAUGGAAAAACCUCCAGAAUGUACAAUUAAAUAAAAACAAAGAAGAUACAUCGCGAUUUAAAUCAGCUCAAAAUGUGCCGACAUUGUUAAAAUACACACUUUC
This is a long non-coding RNA of Platichthys flesus (European flounder), 1730 nucleotides long. RefSeq lists it as uncharacterized. The transcript is spliced from 3 exons. The record is from RefSeq and is a predicted model, not a curated record. NCBI's taxonomy places the organism in Eukaryota, Metazoa, Chordata, Actinopteri, Pleuronectiformes, Pleuronectidae.